This 494-nucleotide ribosomal RNA is filed under the name uncultured bacterium. Its description in RNAcentral is "partial 16S ribosomal RNA". It matches the Rfam family "Bacterial small subunit ribosomal RNA", at positions 28 to 507 of the family's 1533-position model. The record is from RNAcentral.
GACGAACGCUGGCGGCGUGCUUAACACAUGCAAGUCGAACGGAAAGGCCUGCUUUCCCUUGUGGAUUGCGGGUACUCGAGUGGCGAACGGGUGAGUAACACGUGAGUGAUCUGCCCCCAACUUGGGUAUAAGCCUGGGAAACUGGGUCUAAUUCCCGAUAGGACUGCAGGGUGGUGCCUGUGGUGGAAAACGAUUUUCUAGUGGUUGGGGAUGAGCUCGCGGCCUAUCAGCUUGUUGGUGGGGUAAUGGCCUACCAAGGUGGCGACGGGUAGCCGGCCUGAGAGGGUGGACGGCCACAUUGGGACUGAGAUACGGCCCAGACUCCUACGGGAGGCAGCAGUGGGGAAUAUGGCACAAUGGGCGGAAGCCUGAUGCAGCGACGCCGCGUGGGGGAUGACGGCCUUCGGGUUGUAAACUCCUUUCGACCGCGAGGAAGCCACCUGGUUGGAAGGGUGGUGACGGUAGUGGUAGAAGAAGCACCGGCUAACUACGUG